AAAAAGCUAACUGAAAGUAUUGAGAGAUCAAGAGUGGAGAAUAUAUGAAGAAACACAAAUUAUUUGCUCUACCAUUUUGCAAAUUGUCUAACCCUGUACUUAAGGGAGAGAAGGCAAAGAGGGUCUGACAUCAUUUUUUUUCCAUUAAGCAGGUGCAAAUCUCUCUGGUCACAUAUUAUUUACUUAAGACACGUAUAUCUGAUGAACCUGCUAACAUCCAGAUUAUAGUUUUCAGAGACAAAUAUUAAACGGAUGGAUUUGAAGAAAUUCAGAAAUUAAGAAAAGCUUGGAGCUUCUAGUCUACC
Molecule: long non-coding RNA, 305 nt
Filed under: Homo sapiens (human)
Lineage: Eukaryota; Metazoa; Chordata; Mammalia; Primates; Hominidae
Description: HSALNT0204235
Source: RNAcentral